This is a non-coding RNA of Oryza glaberrima (African rice), 58 nucleotides long. The record is from Rfam. NCBI's taxonomy places the organism in Eukaryota, Viridiplantae, Streptophyta, Magnoliopsida, Poales, Poaceae.
UAGCUCAGAGGUUAGAGCAUCGCAUUUGUAAUGCGAGGGUCAUCGGUUCAAAUCCGCC